This 253-nucleotide ribosomal RNA is filed under the name uncultured bacterium. Its description in RNAcentral is "partial 16S ribosomal RNA". It matches the Rfam family "Bacterial small subunit ribosomal RNA", at positions 524 to 776 of the family's 1533-position model. The record is from RNAcentral.
UACGUAGGGCGCAAGCGUUAUCCGGAUUUAUUGGGCGUAAAGAGCUCGUAGGCGGUUUGUCGCGUCUGCCGUGAAAGUCCGGGGCUCAACUCCGGAUCUGCGGUGGGUACGGGCAGACUAGAGUGAUGUAGGGGAGACUGGAAUUCCUGGUGUAGCGGUGAAAUGCGCAGAUAUCAGGAGGAACACCGAUGGCGAAGGCAGGUCUCUGGGCAUUAACUGACGCUGAGGAGCGAAAGCAUGGGGAGCGAACAGG